UGGGGAAUAUUGCACAAUGGGGGAAACCCUGAUGCAGCGACGCCGCGUGAACGAAGAAGGUAUCGUAUCGUAAAGUUCUGUCCUAUGGGAAGAUAAUGACAGUACCAUAGAAGAAAGCUCCGGCUAAAUACGUGCCAGCAGCCGCGGUAAUACGUAUGGAGCGAGCGUUGUCCGGAAUUAUUGGGCGUAAAGGGUACGCAGGCGGUUUAAUAAGUCGAAUGUUAAAGAUCGGGGCUCAACCCCGCAAAGCAUUGGAAACUGAUAAACUUGAGUAGUGGAGAGGAAAGUGGAAUUCCUAGUGUAGUGGUGAAAUACGUAGAUAUUAGGAGGAAUACCAGUAGCGAAGGCGACUUUCUGGACACAAACUGACGCUGAGGUACGAAAGCGUGGGGAGCAAACAGG
Molecule: ribosomal RNA, 402 nt
Filed under: bacterium
Lineage: Bacteria
Description: partial 16S ribosomal RNA
Rfam family: Bacterial small subunit ribosomal RNA
Source: RNAcentral